Molecule: non-coding RNA, 104 nt
Organism: Pelobates cultripes (western spadefoot toad)
Lineage: Eukaryota; Metazoa; Chordata; Amphibia; Anura; Pelobatidae
Source: the annotation of a GenBank genome assembly
GUGUAUAUAAUGCAGUGCGUUUGUGUAGUGUGUUUAUAUAAUGCAGUGUUUGUAUAGUAUUAUAUAAACACACUAUACAAACACACUGCAUUAUAUACACACAC